This 388-nucleotide ribosomal RNA is filed under the name uncultured bacterium. Its description in RNAcentral is "bacterial SSU rRNA". It matches the Rfam family "Bacterial small subunit ribosomal RNA", at positions 28 to 414 of the family's 1533-position model. The record is from RNAcentral.
GACGAACGCUGGCGGCGUGCUUAACACAUGCAAGUCGAGCGAUGAAGUUCCCUUCGGGGAACGGAUUAGCGGCGGACGGGUGAGUAACACGUGGGUAACCUGCCUCAUAGAGAGGGAUAGCCUUCCGAAAGGGAGAUUAAUACCCUCAUAACAUCAUUCUUUCGCAUGUUAGAAUGAUCAAAGGAGCAAUCCGCUAUGAGAUGGACCCGCGGCGCAUUAGCUAGUUGUGGGGUAACGGCCUACCAAGGCGACGAUGCGUAGCCGACCUGAGAGGGUGAUCGGCCACAUUGGGACUGAGACACGGCCCAGACUCCUACGGGAGGCAGCAGUGGGGAAUAUUGCACAAUGGGGGAAACCCUGAUGCAGCAAGCCGCGUGAGUGAUGACGG